UACAGAGGUCUCAAGCGUUGUUCGGAUUCAUUGGGCGUAAAGGGUGCGUAGGCGGCGCGGUAAGUCGGGUGUGAAAUCUCGGAGCUUAACUCCGAAACUGCAUUCGAUACUGCCGUGCUUGAGGACUGGAGAGGAGACUGGAAUUUACGGUGUAGCGGUGAAAUGCGUAGAUAUCGAGAGGAACACCUGCGGCGAAGGCGGGUUGCUGAGCUGACACUGACGCUGAGGCGCGAAAGCCAGGGGAGCGAACGGG
RNAcentral lists this ribosomal RNA (253 nucleotides) under uncultured bacterium. RNAcentral describes it as "partial 16S ribosomal RNA". It matches the Rfam family "Bacterial small subunit ribosomal RNA", at positions 524 to 776 of the family's 1533-position model. The record is from RNAcentral.